Molecule: small nuclear RNA, 124 nt
Organism: Fukomys damarensis (Damara mole-rat)
Lineage: Eukaryota; Metazoa; Chordata; Mammalia; Rodentia; Bathyergidae
Gene: U4
Rfam family: U4 spliceosomal RNA
About the family: U4 small nuclear RNA (U4 snRNA) is a component of the major U2-dependent spliceosome. The structure of U4 snRNA from yeast and human has been reported. U4 snRNA presents a k-turn RNA motif in the 5p-SL related to recognition of Snu13 protein.
Source: Ensembl
AGCUUUGCGCAGUGGCAGUAUCGUAGCCAAUGAGGUUUAUCCGAGGCGCGAUUAUUGCUAAUUGUUGUUAUAUUGUAUUCUCUGUAUCAUCACAGCUGGAAGAACAAAUAUUCCCUAAAUAGGA